UGGGGAAUCUUGCACAAUGGGGGAAACCCUGAUGCAGCGACGCCGCGUGAACGAUGAAGCCCUUCGGGGUGUAAAGUUCUUUCGACAGGAACGAUAAUGACGGUACCUGGAGAAGAAGCUGCGGCUAACUACGUGCCAGCAGCCGCGGUAAUACGUCGGCAGCGAGCGUUGUUCGGAGUUACUGGGCGUAAAGAGUGCGUAGGCGGCGAGCCAAGUUUGGUGUGAAAUCUCCCGGCUUAACCGGGAGGGUGCGCCGAAAACUGGUUGGCUGGAGUAUGGGAGAGGAAAGCGGAAUUCCUGGUGUAGCGGUGAAAUGCGUAGAUAUCAUGAGGAACACCUGCGGUGUAGACAGCUUUCUGGACCAAAACUGACGCUGAGGCACGAAAGCGUGGGUAGCAAACA
RNAcentral lists this ribosomal RNA (402 nucleotides) under uncultured bacterium. RNAcentral's name for it is "bacterial SSU rRNA". It matches the Rfam family "Bacterial small subunit ribosomal RNA", at positions 355 to 774 of the family's 1533-position model. The record is from RNAcentral.